Molecule: long non-coding RNA, 1342 nt
Organism: Oxyura jamaicensis (ruddy duck)
Lineage: Eukaryota; Metazoa; Chordata; Aves; Anseriformes; Anatidae
Exons: 2
Source: RefSeq, a predicted model, not a curated record
UUUUUUUUUUCCUUCUUUUUUUAAUGGCCUGCAGCUGAUGGAGCCCCCUCUCAGAUAACACUGUUUUCAGCCAUCGGUUGUUGCUGUGUUCCCCCACCCAAAGGAUGAGCAACACUGGCAUUUUUCCUGUUAUCCCACCAAGUUGUGUUACCAUUUUCCAAUUGUGUGCCAAAUUAAAAUGACAAUUCCGUAAAUAAAACUCUGAAAUAUUGGACUGUGAGGGUGUUUUCCUGUAUAUUUUCUUUCUGUUGGUUGUUUCUUGUUUCUUUGUGCACCAGAUUCUUUUCCUGGUAAUAUGUCGGACAGCUUCAGCUGUGCUAUGUCCAUCCUGUGUGCAUGGCUCUCUGCCUGAGGGAUUAUCCUUGUUGACGGGUUCAGCCAUGUUAUGGUGAGUAUAGAGAUCUCCAAGGCUUUUGUUUUCAUGUGUUUUAUUCUGAAACUUGGUGGAUUUAUUGGAUGGAAAAGAUAACGGAAAUUUCCCAUGUUCCUUGGAUCUGAAGAUUUCCUUCCAACUUCAUCUCAAAGACUUCCGAACCAUCUUUAUUCAUUCUGCCUGUCUCUUGUUUCUGUGACUUUGGUUUCCUGCCAAACUCUACCAUUAGUAGCCCUGUUUCUGAUCAUGCACCAUUCUUCGUAAAUGAAACCAUGCAAUAAGUUAGAAGAUCUUCAGAGAGGUGCUUGUCACCCCUGCCAGUAUGUGCAAGAAAGGAUGCAGAAUGAUGACAUGUAUCAUCCAGGCAACACUGGUCUUCACUCUCUUUACUACUUUUCAUCUUUUUAAGAUCCAAAAUUUACAGGCAGCACCUGUGCCAGCUCAGUCCUGGUAGCACUCACAAAAGCCAUGCUUUAGCAUUCCAAAAAUCCUGCCCCGGCACUAGCACCAAUUACACAUACUACUAAAUGGUUUCAGACUCCAAGGCAGAGGUGCUACAAGUGGACUGCUGGCUGAGAAGUGUCCUGGGGUCACACAGGCUAGCAAACUGUGAAUGGGCUCUUGAGCAUUUUGGGGAAAGAACAACCCAUAACUUCCCAUCCUGCAAACUGGGAGGUGGGCAUGGGUGUAGGGGGAUGGAGACUUUCAUCUGUCGGUGUCACUAGUGUUCUCCCACGCGCAUUUGAUGGCACAGUCUCAGCAGCAGCCUGCACAGCCCAAGCAGCAGCCUUGUCUAAGGAAGCCACCGCAUGUUUCUAGUUGCUGUUCUGUGUGACUGAUUGCUGGACUAGCUGAUUCCCAUGGCUGCUUUGUGAGUUGUGCUGCACUGUUUUUUCAAGUAGAUUGACUGAUGGGGAGAAAUAAAAACUGCUCUUUGCUGUGGCUUCUGUUAAGCCACCAUGUGAAGGG